This 75-nucleotide transfer RNA is filed under the name chicken gut metagenome. It matches the Rfam family "tRNA". From Rfam's summary of the family: Transfer RNA (tRNA) molecules are approximately 80 nucleotides in length. The record is from RNAcentral.
CGUUGUGGCGGAAUGGUAGACGCACUAGACUCAAAAUCUGGCGAGUUUUCUCGUGUGGGUUCGAAUCCCACCAAC